Octopus bimaculoides (California two-spot octopus) is the source of this 748-nucleotide long non-coding RNA. RefSeq lists it as uncharacterized. NCBI's taxonomy places the organism in Eukaryota, Metazoa, Mollusca, Cephalopoda, Octopoda, Octopodidae. The record is from RefSeq and is a predicted model, not a curated record.
AAAUUCUUCUAAAGUCACAUAUGAAAUAUUCAAUGUCAAAUUUAUCUCUAUGAACGAACAUGAAGAGCAAUUGGCAUAUACCUAUAUUAAGACCAAAACAUGUGUUACAUCAUAUAUAUACAUAUAUAUGGGAUUAUAUACAUAUUAUAUACAUAUUUUAUCUCACCAUGGUGACUUUAAAUGUCUCUGUAUUUCCAAAUUUGUAAUCAAAUAACCCACCAAUAAGCUGAGAAUGAAACUUACCUAUAUACACAAGCAAUCCUAUCUAUAAUGUCCUACUUGAUAGCUGCGAUCGGUAUUACGGUACCUAAUAACUCUUCAUCUGAUGAAAUCUUUGAUUAGACUACUAGCAGCGAAAACUAACAACAGUGACCUUGAUCUAAGAAAAAUUGAGGAAGGGCCGACUUACUCUGGUGUUUAUUCAUUCCAAGUAUUGAUACAUUUCAAAAUUACAAGAUUCAAUCAUCGAAACGACUCAGUGAAUAGUGCAAUCAAAAUAUUAUUUCAAACUUGUACCUUGUUAAGUAUUAAUAAGGUAACCGCAAGUGCAGAAAGAACUACUGAUGAGUGAACAGUCACCUGUAAAAAGAAUAGGAAUGCAUGUUAGACAUAAAUAUUAUACGCCAAAAAGCGAUGCGAAACAUAACGCUAGCGAGAUAUUUCGAAAAGGGAGUAUCAUCUUUCAAACGUCUGUUGAUAUUGAAACUAAAUUUCAACGAGAGGCAGUCGCUGAGUUAUAUUUAAUAAA